RNAcentral lists this ribosomal RNA (519 nucleotides) under uncultured eukaryote. Its description in RNAcentral is "partial 18S ribosomal RNA". It matches the Rfam family "Eukaryotic small subunit ribosomal RNA", at positions 1172 to 1724 of the family's 1831-position model. The record is from RNAcentral.
AGGGSACCMCCAGGAGUGGRGCCUGCGGCUUAWUUUGACUCAMCACGGGAAAACUCACCCGGCCCGGACACCGUAAGGAUUGACAGAUUGAGAGCUCUUUCUUGAUUCGGUGGKUGGKGGKGCAUGGSCGUUCUUAGUUGGKGGAGCGAUUUGUCUGGKUUAUUCCGAUAACRAACRAGACUCUGGCCUACUAAAUAGAGACAGGAUUAUUACUGUCCUGGAUUCUUCUUAGAGGGACAAGUGGUUUUCAGCCACACSAAAUUGAGCAAUAACAGGUCUGUGAUGCCCUUAGAUGUCCGGGGCUGCACGCGCGCUACACUGAAGGAAUCAGCGUGCUAAAACCAUUGUCGAAAGGCAUUGGUAAACCCCUCAAAAUCCUACGUGAUUGGGAUCGGGAAUUGCAAUUAUUUCCCUUGAACGAGGAAUUCCCAGUAAGUGUGGGUCAUAAGCUCGCGAUGAUUACRUCCCUGCCCUUUGUACACACCGCCCGUCGCUGCCCGGGACUGAGCCGUUUCGAGA